GAAGAUUUGACGAAAGUUUCCCUGUCUCGAUUUAUUUGCAAAAAAAUUAACCGAAAGGUUAAAAGGCCUUUAUAGUUUAAGGGGACGAUAAGACCCUAUAAAACUUUAUUUAUAACCUUUAUUUAUUUUAUAGAAACAAAAUACGAAUUAUAAAUUUUGCUGGGGCGGCAAAAAACUUAACAUUCUUUAACCAAACGUAAUGAACGAAAUUUAACCAACAUUAUUUUAGACUCAAAAACAAGUUACUUUAGGGAUAACAGCAUAAUUUCUUUUUAGAGCCCCUAUCGACAAAGAAGAUUAUGACCUCGAUGUUGAAUUGAGUACCUCCUUCUAAGCAGCCUUAAAAGGUAGAA
This 353-nucleotide ribosomal RNA is filed under the name Tylos marcuzzii. Its description in RNAcentral is "partial 16S large subunit ribosomal RNA". It matches the Rfam family "Archaeal large subunit ribosomal RNA", at positions 2071 to 2645 of the family's 2987-position model. Lineage: Eukaryota; Metazoa; Arthropoda; Malacostraca; Isopoda; Tylidae. The record is from RNAcentral.